AACGAACGCUGGCGGCAUGCCUAACACAUGCAAGUCGAACGAGACCUUCGGGUCUAGUGGCGCACGGGUGCGUAACGCGUGGGAACCUGCCCUUAGGUUCGGAAUAACUCCCCGAAAGGGGUUCUAAUACCGGAUAAUGUCUUCGGACCAAAGAUUUAUCGCCUUUGGAUGGGCCCGCGUUGGAUUAGCUAGUUGGUAGGGUAAAAGCCUACCAAGGCGACGAUCCAUAGCUGGUCUGAGAGGAUGAUCAGCCACACUGGGACUGAGACACGGCCCAGACUCCUACGGGAGGCAGCAGUGGGGAAUAUUGGACAAUGGGCGAAAGCCUGAUACAGCAAUGCCGCGUGAGUGAUGAAGGCCUUAGGGUUGUAAAGCUCUUUUACCCGGGAUGAGAAUGACAGUACCGGGAGAAUAAGCUCCGGCUAACUCCGUG
This 433-nucleotide ribosomal RNA is filed under the name uncultured bacterium. RNAcentral's name for it is "partial 16S ribosomal RNA". It matches the Rfam family "Bacterial small subunit ribosomal RNA", at positions 29 to 507 of the family's 1533-position model. The record is from RNAcentral.